Molecule: ribosomal RNA, 316 nt
Filed under: Arabidopsis thaliana (thale cress)
Lineage: Eukaryota; Viridiplantae; Streptophyta; Magnoliopsida; Brassicales; Brassicaceae
Source: RNAcentral
UUGUUUUCGAAUUUUUUCAUGCAUCAAAGCUCGUUAAGACUAGAUGGGGUAUCCCUACAUAGCGGGUGGGACCCACGGCGAAUGGUUCAUCAAGUCUUCAAAAAAGAAUAUAUACGACUGCAUUGCAUAUACUAACGGAUGCGAUCAUACCAGCACUAAUGCACCGGAUUCCAUCAGAACUCCGCAGUUAAGCGUGCUUGGGCGAGAGUAGUACUAGGAUGGGUGACCUCCCGGGAAGUCCUCGUGUUGCAUCCCUCUUUUAUGUUUAACCUUUUUUUUUUGGUUAAACUUUAUGACUCCAUAACUUCUACACCGA